This 103-nucleotide unclassified non-coding RNA is filed under the name soil metagenome. Its description in RNAcentral is "partial internal transcribed spacer 1". The record is from RNAcentral.
AAAAAUAUUUAUCCGAGAAUUCGUUUUGUUUUCUCGGAUUAAUUUGUAUUCAAAUCCUGCUCUUUAUAAAUAUAUCAAUUAUAUAAAACAAAAUAAAAAAAGA